AACGAACGCUGGCGGCAUGCCUAACACAUGCAAGUCGAACGAGACCUUCGGGUCUAGUGGCGCCCGGGUGCGUAACGCGUGGGAACCUGCCCUUAGGUUCGGAAUAACUCCCCGAAAGGGGUGCUAAUACCGGAUAAUGUCUUCGGACCAAAGAUUUAUCGCCUUUGGAUGGGCCCGCGUUGGAUUAGCUAGUUGGUAGGGUAAAAGCCUACCAAGGCGACGAUCCAUAGCUGGUCUGAGAGGAUGAUCAGCCACACUGGGACUGAGACACGGCCCAGACUCCUACGGGAGGCAGCAGUGGGGAAUAUUGGACAAUGGGCGAAAGCCUGAUCCAGCAAUGCCGCGUGAGUGAUGAAGGCCUUAGGGUUGUAAAGCUCUUUUAACCGGGAUGAUAAUGACAGUACCGGGAGAAUAAGCUCCGGCUAACUCCGUG
Molecule: ribosomal RNA, 433 nt
Filed under: uncultured bacterium
Lineage: Bacteria
Description: partial 16S ribosomal RNA
Rfam family: Bacterial small subunit ribosomal RNA
Source: RNAcentral